AGAGUUUGAUCAUGGCUCAGGAUGAACGCUGGCGGCGUGCUUAACACAUGCAAGUCGAACGGAGUUGAUCGGAGGAAGUUUUUGGAUGGAAUCGGAUUGACUUAGUGGCGGACGGGUGAGUAACGCGUGGGUAACCUGCCUCACACUGGGGGAUAACAGAUAGAAAUAUCUGCUAAAACCGCAUAAGCGCACGAGGUCGCAUGACCAUGUGUGAAAAACUCCGG
This 224-nucleotide ribosomal RNA is filed under the name uncultured bacterium. RNAcentral describes it as "partial 16S ribosomal RNA". It matches the Rfam family "Bacterial small subunit ribosomal RNA", at positions 8 to 214 of the family's 1533-position model. The record is from RNAcentral.